Molecule: long non-coding RNA, 632 nt
Organism: Panicum virgatum (switchgrass)
Lineage: Eukaryota; Viridiplantae; Streptophyta; Magnoliopsida; Poales; Poaceae
Exons: 2
Source: RefSeq, a predicted model, not a curated record
UGCCCAUAUCUGUGCGCCUCUUUCGCCGCGGCUCAGUUGGCGCCUGGGACAAACAUCCAUCCGUGAUUUUUCUGGCCAGGGUUAGGGUCCCCCCCCCCCUCCCCCCGGCGGAUACUCUGAUAGCGAAUCAUCUCGGAUAAAAGAAUUCCCGGUGAUCGAGGCUACCAUGUGCCGCGUCAACAAUCUCACCGGCCUUCUGAAUCGAUCACAGUGUCAAUUGUCAGGUAAGCAAGCUUUGAGCUUUCCAACAUUUGGUUUCUGGAUCCCUCUCUCUCUCUCUGUAUUUUUUUCCCCUUCCCUGCAGUUUUGAUUGUUCCAAUAGUUGACAAAUGCAUGGUUAAUUAUGGCUGAUCUUGUAGAUGUCAACAGUCUCUUGUCCUGGUUUGGUCCUUUUCACUUUCACUUUGGUCAGCACUAGGAGCGUGAGUAGUUAGAUUGAUGCUUGGUUUGCAUGGUGAUACUAUACUAGAUCCUGGUCAAUUCGCGAUUUCUGGGAAUACAUAGGACACAACAACAACAAAAAUCAAAUAUUAUUAUCAUAUAUAAUUACUCUUAAGGAACAUGUAUAACUGAGUCGAGAAUGAAUUGGAUGGACGCUUUUCCUUUUAAUGUGAUCAUAAUUUCUUUGUAUA